This 1221-nucleotide ribosomal RNA is filed under the name metagenome. RNAcentral describes it as "bacterial SSU rRNA". It matches the Rfam family "Bacterial small subunit ribosomal RNA", at positions 8 to 1250 of the family's 1533-position model. The record is from RNAcentral.
AGAGUUUGAUCAUGGCUCAGGACGAACGCUGGCGGCGCGCCUAACACAUGCAAGUCGAACGAGCGAGAGAGAGCUUGCUUUCUCAAGCGAGUGGCGAACGGGUGAGUAACGCGUGAGGAACCUGCCUCAAAGAGGGGGACAACAGUUGGAAACGACUGCUAAUACCGCAUAAGCCCACGGCUCGGCAUCGAGCAGAGGGAAAAGGAGCAAUCCGCUUUGAGAUGGCCUCGCGUCCGAUUAGCUAGUUGGUGAGGUAAUGGCCCACCAAGGCGACGAUCGGUAGCCGGACUGAGAGGUUGAACGGCCACAUUGGGACUGAGACACGGCCCAGACUCCUACGGGAGGCAGCAGUGGGGAAUAUUGCACAAUGGGGGAAACCCUGAUGCAGCGACGCCGCGUGGAGGAAGAAGGUCUUCGGAUUGUAAACUCCUGUUGUUGGGGAAGAUAAUGACGGUACCCAACAAGGAAGUGACGGCUAACUACGUGCCAGCAGCCGCGGUAAAACGUAGGUCACAAGCGUUGUCCGGAAUUACUGGGUGUAAAGGGAGCGCAGGCGGGAAGACAAGUUGGAAGUGAAAUCUACGGGCUCAACCCAUAAACUGCUUUCAAAACUGUUUUUCUUGAGUAGUGCAGAGGUAGGCGGAAUUCCCGGUGUAGCGGUGGAAUGCGUAGAUAUCGGGAGGAACACCAGUGGCGAAGGCGGCCUACUGGGCACCAACUGACGCUGAGGCUCGAAAGUGUGGGUAGCAAACAGGAUUAGAUACCCUGGUAGUCCACACCGUAAACGAUGAUUACUAGGUGUUGGAGGAUUGACCCCUUCAGUGCCGCAGUUAACACAAUAAGUAAUCCACCUGGGGAGUACGACCGCAAGGUUGAAACUCAAAGGAAUUGACGGGGGCCCGCACAAGCAGUGGAGUAUGUGGUUUAAUUCGACGCAACGCGAAGAACCUUACCAAGUCUUGACAUCCCUUGACGAUGCUGGAAACAGUGUUUCUCUUCGGAGCAAGGAGACAGGUGGUGCAUGGUUGUCGUCAGCUCGUGUCGUGAGAUGUUGGGUUAAGUCCCGCAACGAGCGCAACCCUUAUGGUCAGUUACUACGCAAGAGGACUCUGGCCAGACUGCCGUUGACAAAACGGAGGAAGGUGGGGAUGACGUCAAAUCAUCAUGCCCUUUAUGACUUGGGCUACACACGUACUACAAUGGCGUUAAACAAAGAGAAGC